Molecule: RNA transcript, 2293 nt
Organism: Candoia aspera
Lineage: Eukaryota; Metazoa; Chordata; Lepidosauria; Squamata; Candoiidae
Gene: TRIM65
Gene name: tripartite motif containing 65
Exons: 7
Source: RefSeq, a predicted model, not a curated record
CUGGGGAGAUGGCUUCCUCUGGUUCUCAGAAACUGGAAGAGAAAUUAAUAUGUUGCAUUUGUCUGGAGAUGUUUUCCACCCCUGUGACCGUGCCUUGCGGGCACAGUUUUUGUGAAAAGUGUAUCAGCAGCCACUGGGACAAAGAGGAACAAGGACUCAACGGCCAGAAAGUCUGCACCUGCCCUGAAUGCCGAAAAAGCUUCCCAGAGAGGCCCAAGCUCAGCAAAGCCGUCCAACUUGACAGUCUGGUAGAUCUACUGAAAUUGGAAGCAGUGCCCCGGUUUGAGAUGGGGAAGGCAGGUGACGCUCAGGCGAGGAAGUGCCCGAGGCACGGCCGGCCCUUGGAGCUUUACUGCGUGGCUGAGAAACGCUGCAUCUGCUGCGUGUGCACCGUGAGGAGCUGCCAGAAGCACAAGAGGACUCUCUUUGAAGAGGAGCGGAAAGCGAAAGAAGAGUCAAUAAAGGAAACCUUGGAGGAAAAGCAAAAGGAGGUAGAAAAGAUUGUAACAGAAAUCCAGAAACUGGAGCAGCAGAUGGACCAUACUAAAGUUUUCUCAACGAAGUUCAGAUUAGGAAUUUUGCAGAAGUUUGACCAUCUCAUGGAAACCCUAAAAGAGUGCCAGAAGAAGGUGGUGGAGAGGGUUGAAAGUGAGCAUGCCACUCUGCUAAAGCAAAUGGAGGAGAACUGGAAUUGCCUACAGCAUCAUUUGGAGACUUUCACACAGUACAACAAGACAGUGGAAGGGCUGCUGAGCUGUGCUGAUGAUGUCAGGUUUCUUGAACAACAUCUCCUUUCUCCCCCUUGUAAAUUGGAAGUUCCUCCAGUCAUUCAACUUGAUUUGGAUACCAACGCACACACCAUCACUGAGUUCUUCAGUGAGUUUGACAGGCUUUUGGAGGAACUUCAGUCAAAUCCUUUGAAUCCACAAAUGACUGACAGAAAAAUCUCGCUUGAGCCAAAGGUGUUUGUGAAGAGGAUGCCUGGACCUUGUCUUUCAGAGAAUGAACUAAGGACAAAGCUUCUACAGGAUCAGCAGAAUUUGACAUUUGAUCCAGUCUCAGCUAACAAAUACCUGCAGUUAUCUGAUAACCACCAGAAGGCAACUCAUCCCCAGGGUUUUCACAAGCCAAAGCCAAAUGACCCUCAAAGGUUUGAGCCAUGGCAAGUCAAGUGUACUCAGACCUUCAGCCAAGGCAGUCACUACUGGGAAGUGGAGUUAUCUGACCACUCUGUCAUCAUUGGCGUAGCUUGUGAAAGAUUCCCAAGGAGGAAACAGGCUCAUCAGAAGUUCACCAUUGGGUUGGAUAAACUCUCCUGGGGCCUGCAUGUCCAAGAAGACAGCUAUGUGGCUUGGUACAACAAGAAGUCUACAAAGAUAAAAGAGCCUCUGUGCAAAUUUAUUGGAGUUCUAUUGGACUGUGAUCAAGGAGUUUUAUCCUUUUACAGCAUAGACAAUAACAUGAAAUGCCUUCAUAUUUUUCACACCACCUUUACAGAGCCUCUUGUCCCAAUUUUCUGGCUUUGUGAAGGUACAGCUGUGACCCUUUGCCAAAGGCCACCCAGCCAGAUUAUAACUGAUGAGAGGUCACCUGAUUUAUAGGCAAAGGCAGCCCCUGUGGAAAAACUCUGAGGCAAGCAAAUAACUCUGGAACGUUAAAAAGAGGUUCUAAGCUACUUGACUACACAGAGACAAAUCUUGUAUUUCUGUCUUCUAUAGCUCCCUCGUGAGUUGCGAGACCUCCUUGCCCUUCCAGACAAAGAUGCAGCUAGAUGCUAAUGCAGCACAGAACCUGAUGCACAUGAUUUUGGUGCUAAAUAGAGCUAUCUGGUGAUCUACAAAAAUUAAGACAUGAAUAUGAAUAAAGAAACAGGGUAAACAAGAGGAUAAUCAACUUUUAGUUGGGAAAUUGUCAUAGCCAAUAGAGAACCAAGUUGGCAGAAAGAAAAUCGCAUAUACUGUAGUGUUGAGAAUUUACCCUAGACAAAUCACUGUUCACACACACUCUGCAGUCACUUCGUUGUGAAAGAAUAUUGUGAAACUGUAAGUACAUAUAGUUUCUCAUGAGUGACUAGGUAGUAGCCAUUUCUUAAGAAUGCACAUUCCAGAAGGCAAUUUUUAAAAUUUAUUUCUCUACCCCUUUUUUCUAUUAGAAGAGACUAGAGCAUUUUACAAAAGAACCAAAACAAUAUUUUAAAAACUUACAUCAAUAAAACCAUUGAUAGCAGAACAGAAUUAUAAAAAUACAAGCAUUAAUGUUCAUUUUUAAAAGGCAGUUUAAAAGGUAGUCUAGG